This 682-nucleotide long non-coding RNA is filed under the name Brachypodium distachyon (stiff brome). RNAcentral's name for it is "long non-coding RNA (BDIS_LNC000646)". Lineage: Eukaryota; Viridiplantae; Streptophyta; Magnoliopsida; Poales; Poaceae. The record is from RNAcentral.
CCAACCACACACACCUUCACGGUGCGCACACCCUCGCAAUUCACAACAUACUAAUUACUAUAAAAGACUCAUCAUCUAGGCAUAAUUCCCAACCCAUUCUAUGAUAAUAUUGUUUUCAUUCCUUCACAAAAUAACAUAGAAACAAACACAUUUGAUUCUUAUAACUAGAUCGAUCCAUAUGCUCUAAAUGGAUAAGAGAGGUAUGGAUUUUCCGCUCAGUUUUAAUUUUUUUCUUUUCUUUCUGUUUGGACAAGAAGAUUUUUGACUAAGACUGGGUUUGAUUCUACUUUCCUAUUUCUCAAAAACAACUUCUCUCAUCAGCUAUUUCGUGUUGCCCCCCCUGAAAUAUCACUUUUCGGGUCAAAUACCCCCCAGCUUUUGCUAUGGGGCUGGCAGGUUCACUCCUUGCCAUGAAUAGGGCUGGCUCCUUCCCCGAGAUAGAUAGAAGCCAAGCCCACUACGCGGUGCGAACUCCUAAAGAAGAGAAUGAACUUACUCUUUCACAUCUCAUCACCGAUGGCAUGGGCAGACCCAGGAAAAAACUCAAGAGGGGGCAAAAAUAUAUGCCAUAUAUUCUGAUGUGCAUCAGCUAAGAAGGCAAGCAUCCAUAGAAACUAAAUUAUAUGCAUUAUCCAUACAAAAAGAUGUUUUAUAGUGAUAUGAAGAAAAUACCUUGUUCCGA